RNAcentral lists this ribosomal RNA (25 nucleotides) under Boodlea composita. RNAcentral describes it as "s-rRNA". The record is from RNAcentral. Lineage: Eukaryota; Viridiplantae; Chlorophyta; Ulvophyceae; Cladophorales; Boodleaceae.
CAACAGGGAUGAGAUGCCCCUUUCG